CUACGGGGCGCUGCAGUGGGGAAUAUUGCACAAUGGAGGAAACUCUGAUGCAGCCAUGCCGCGUGUGUGAAGAAGGCCCGAGGGUUGUAAAGCACUUUCAAUUGGGAGGAAGGUUAUGUAGCUAAUACCUGCAUAAUUUGACGUUACCUUUAGAAGAAGCACCGGCUAACUCUGUGCCAGCAGCCGCGGUAAUACAGAGGGUGCAAGCGUUAUUCGGAAUUACUGGGCGUAAAGCGCGCGUAGGCGGAUUGUUAAGUCAGAAGUGAAAGCCCUGGGCUCAACCUGGGAACGGCAUUUGAUACUGGCAGUCUAGAGUUUAAGAGAGGGAAGGGGAAUUUCUAGUGUAGCAGUGAAAUGCGUAGAUAUUAGAAGGAACAUCAGUGGCGAAGGCGCCUUCCUGGCUUAAAACUGACGCUGAGGUGCGAAAGCGUGGGUAGCGAACGGGAUUAGAUACCCUCGUAGUC
This 464-nucleotide ribosomal RNA is filed under the name uncultured bacterium. RNAcentral's name for it is "partial 16S ribosomal RNA". It matches the Rfam family "Bacterial small subunit ribosomal RNA", at positions 339 to 795 of the family's 1533-position model. The record is from RNAcentral.